This 253-nucleotide ribosomal RNA is filed under the name uncultured bacterium. RNAcentral's name for it is "partial 16S ribosomal RNA". It matches the Rfam family "Bacterial small subunit ribosomal RNA", at positions 524 to 776 of the family's 1533-position model. The record is from RNAcentral.
UACGGAGGGUGCAAGCGUUAAUCGGAAUUACUGGGCGUAAAGGGUGCGUAGGUGGUUUGGUAAGUUAUCUGUGAAAUCCCCGGGCUCAACCUGGGCAGGUCAGAUAAUACUGCUAAACUCGAGUAUGGGAGAGGGUAGUGGAAUUUCCGGUGUAGCGGUGAAGUGCGUAGAGAUCGGAAGGAACACCAGUGGCGAAGGCGGCUACCUGGCCCAAUACUGACACUGAGGCACGAAAGCGUGGGGAGCAAACAGG